UAACAGUAUAUAUUCCAAAAUAACAUUUCCCAGAAGAUUUUUCAGUUUGAUUUCGACAGAAGUGUUUCAUGUGGUUAAAGUGUCACAGCCUAACUUAUCUCUUGUGUGACAUUCACAAAAUGACUUUUUACCCUACAACAAGACAGAAGAUCAUCAUUAUCUCGAGCAGAAGAUUACCAGGGAGUACAACCUGACUCUGUAGCUCUCAGAUCCAUCUUAGAAAGAGAUUACGUACCCUGACCAGUGAAGAACAGCACUUUGCCCUCUAGGAUAUAGCUAGUGGAGAAAAAAUUGAGUCACAACACAAAACACUCUCAAGUGCACAUCUACUGACAUCCAUGACAGCAUUAGUCCCAGCUUCCACAGUACUCUGUUGAUGGCUCCUGAGCAGCAGCUGCUGUAGCUCCUCCAGGCUCAUAUCCACGUUCUCCACUGCAUCUGAAACCUCCACUCUGCGCACACACACACACACAGGGAGAUAGAGAGAGAGAGAGAGUAAUAUAGCGGGUCUCUUACUCCUCCUCUCCAUCACAGAGGCCGUAGAGCCUCGCCCCUCCAGAACAGACUGGACCAUUGCGACAGGGAGAACAGGAGGUUCUGAGGAGCACACCUCACAGGAGGAGGU
Molecule: long non-coding RNA, 625 nt
Organism: Lates calcarifer (barramundi perch)
Lineage: Eukaryota; Metazoa; Chordata; Actinopteri; Centropomidae
Exons: 3
Source: RefSeq, a predicted model, not a curated record